This 253-nucleotide ribosomal RNA is filed under the name uncultured bacterium. RNAcentral describes it as "partial 16S ribosomal RNA". It matches the Rfam family "Bacterial small subunit ribosomal RNA", at positions 524 to 776 of the family's 1533-position model. The record is from RNAcentral.
UACGUAGGGUGCAAGCGUUAUCCGGAAUUAUUGGGCGUAAAGAGCUCGUAGGCGGUCUGUCGCGUCUGCUGUGAAAACUGGGGGCUCAACCCCCAGCCUGCAGUGGGUACGGGCAGACUAGAGUGCGGUAGGGGAGAUUGGAAUUCCUGGUGUAGCGGUGGAAUGCGCAGAUAUCAGGAGGAACACCGAUGGCGAAGGCAGAUCUCUGGGCCGUAACUGACGCUGAGGAGCGAAAGCGUGGGGAGCAAACAGG